RNAcentral lists this ribosomal RNA (460 nucleotides) under uncultured Desulfobulbus sp. RNAcentral describes it as "bacterial SSU rRNA". It matches the Rfam family "Bacterial small subunit ribosomal RNA", at positions 927 to 1382 of the family's 1533-position model. The record is from RNAcentral. Lineage: Bacteria; Pseudomonadati; Thermodesulfobacteriota; Desulfobulbia; Desulfobulbales; Desulfobulbaceae.
AAGCGGUGGAGUAUGUGGUUUAAUUCGAUGCAACGCGAAGAACCUUACCUGGUCUUGACAUCCCGGAGACCCUUAGGAAACUAGGGGUGCUUCCAUCUGGAAGAAUCUGGAGACAGGUGCUGCAUGGCUGUCGUCAGCUCGUGUCGUGAGAUGUUGGGUUAAGUCCCGCAACGAGCGCAACCCUUGCCUUUAGUUGCCAGCAGUUCGGCUGGGCACUCUAAAGGGACUGCCGGUGUUAAACCGGAGGAAGGUGGGGAUGAACGUCAAGUCCUCAUGGCCUUUAUGACCAGGGCUACACACGUACUACAAUGGCCGAUACAAAGGGCAGCGACACUGCGAGGUGAAGCCAAUCCGUAAAAUCGGUCUCAGUCCGGAUUGGAGUCUGCAACUCGACUCCAUGAAGUUGGAAUCGCUAGUAAUCGUGGAUCAGCAUGCCACGGUGAAUACGUUCCCGGGCCUU